RNAcentral lists this long non-coding RNA (278 nucleotides) under Malus domestica (apple). Its description in RNAcentral is "long non-coding RNA (MDOM_LNC013276)". Lineage: Eukaryota; Viridiplantae; Streptophyta; Magnoliopsida; Rosales; Rosaceae. The record is from RNAcentral.
UUAAUGAAUAAUGAUUCACAAAGGCCCAAUUAGCCCAAUAAUAUCCCAAUGGCCGGCCAUUUAGUUUUGGAGUGGGUUUUGGACUUAUUUACAAGUUUGCCACUCUAAUGAAUUAAGGUAUAAAUAUGACUUUAUAGCCAAAAUUCAUUUAGGGUUUCUUUUGGAGAAAAUUGGAGAGAACAUGUCUCUCCCUUUCUCUCUAAAGAGGCCGGCCUCCUUGGAAGGUGUAGCUAGCAAUCCUACUACUCCAAGGUCACUCAUUUCUUCUCCAAUCUAAC